GAUGAAGAACGCAGCGAAAUGCGAUAAGUAAUGUGAAUUGCAGAAUCCAGUGAAUCAUCGAAUCUUUGAACGCACCUUGCGCCCUUUGGCCAUUCCGAAGGGCAUGCCUGUUUGAGUAUCAUGAACACCUCAACUCUUCAUGGUUUUCCAUGAUGAGCUUGGACUUUGGGGGUCUUGCUGGCCUGUGGGUCGGCUCCUCUCAAAUGAAUCAGCUUGCCGGUUUUUGGUGGGCAUCACAGGUGUGAUAACUAUCUACGCUUGUGGUUUUCCACCAGGGUAACCUUCAGCAGUGGAGGUUCACUGGAGCUUACAAAUGUCUCUCCUCUGUGAGGACAGCCCUUUGAAUGUUUGAUCUCAAAUCAGGUAGGACUACCCGCUGAACUUAAGCAUAUCAAUAAGCGGAGGA
This 406-nucleotide unclassified non-coding RNA is filed under the name soil metagenome. Its description in RNAcentral is "partial contains 5.8S ribosomal RNA, internal transcribed spacer 2, and large subunit ribosomal RNA". The stretch from base 1 to 121 matches the Rfam family "5.8S ribosomal RNA", at positions 35 to 154 of the family's 154-position model. The record is from RNAcentral.